This 254-nucleotide ribosomal RNA is filed under the name uncultured bacterium. RNAcentral describes it as "partial 16S ribosomal RNA". It matches the Rfam family "Bacterial small subunit ribosomal RNA", at positions 524 to 776 of the family's 1533-position model. The record is from RNAcentral.
UACGUAGGGUGCAAGCGUUGUCCGGAAUUAUUGGGCGUAAAGAGCUCGUAGGCGGUUUGUCGCGUCGGCUGUGAAAACCUGGGGCUCAACCCCGGGCCUGCAGCCGAUACGGGCAAACUAGAAUUCGGUAGGGGAGACUGGAAUUCCUGGUGUAGCGGUGAAAUGCGCAGAUAUCAGGAGGAACACCGGUGGCGAAGGCGGGUCUCUGGGCCGAUAUUGACGCUGGAGGAGCGAAAGCGUGGGGAGCGAACAGG